UAAUACGUAGGGUGCAAGCAUUAUCCGGAAUUAUUGGGCGUAAAGCGUCUGUAGGCGGCGAAUUAAGUAAGAGAUUAAAUCUUCGGGCCCAACCCGAAACAUGUCUUUUAAACUGGUUUGCUUGAGGUAUGGAGGGGUAACUGGAAUUCCUGGUGUAGGGGUAAAAUCCGUUGAUAUCAGGAGGAACGCUAAAAGCGAAGGCAGGUUACUGGCCAUUUCUGACGCUGAGAGACGAAAGCGUGGGUAGCAAACAGG
Molecule: ribosomal RNA, 255 nt
Filed under: uncultured bacterium
Lineage: Bacteria
Description: partial 16S ribosomal RNA
Rfam family: Bacterial small subunit ribosomal RNA
Source: RNAcentral